AUCGGAUGGUUGAUCAAUGAUUAAGAAUCGUUCUAGGGUUAAACGAUCAAUAUGAUUGACAUUUAACCUAGUGCAAGUGUUGUAAGAGGAUCGAUUAGCAAUUUGAUUACUAAUUGGCUUAAUUUGAUUAAGCCAAUAGGCUGAGAUUAAGUUUAAUUGAAUAUAAUUUAAUUAGAUUUAGUUUGGACUUGAUUGGAUCAAGUUCAAUUGGUUUAUU
RNAcentral lists this long non-coding RNA (217 nucleotides) under Elaeis guineensis (African oil palm). RNAcentral describes it as "long non-coding RNA (EGUI_LNC066842)". The record is from RNAcentral. Lineage: Eukaryota; Viridiplantae; Streptophyta; Magnoliopsida; Arecales; Arecaceae.